Molecule: ribosomal RNA, 252 nt
Filed under: uncultured bacterium
Lineage: Bacteria
Description: partial 16S ribosomal RNA
Rfam family: Bacterial small subunit ribosomal RNA
Source: RNAcentral
UACGUAGGCAGCGAGCGUUGUUCGGAGUUACUGGGCGUAAAGAGUGCGUAGGCGGUGCUCUAAGUUUGGUGUGAAAUCUCCCGGCUCAACUGGGAGGGUGCGCCGAAACUGGAGUGCUCGAGUAUGGGAGAGGUAAGCGGAAUUCCUGGUGUAGCGGUGAAAUGCGUAGAUAUCGUAAGGAAGACCAGUGGCGAAGGCGGGUCUCUGGACAGUUCCUGACGCUGAGGCACGAAGGCCAGGGGAGCAAACGGG